This 533-nucleotide ribosomal RNA is filed under the name Cryphonectriaceae sp. LM45. RNAcentral describes it as "bacterial SSU rRNA". The stretch from base 1 to 356 matches the Rfam family "Eukaryotic small subunit ribosomal RNA", at positions 1476 to 1831 of the family's 1831-position model. Lineage: Eukaryota; Fungi; Ascomycota; Sordariomycetes; Diaporthales; Cryphonectriaceae. The record is from RNAcentral.
GAGUUCUCGGGCGCACACGCGCUACACUGACAGAGCCAGCGAGUUCCUCCUUGGCCGGUAAGGCCCGGGUAAUCUUGUGAAACUCUGUCGUGCUGGGGAUAGAGCAUUGUUAUUAUUGCUCUUCAACGAGGAAUCCCUAGUAAGCGCAAGUCAUCAGCUUGCGUUGAUUACGUCCCUGCCCUUUGUACACACCGCCCGUCGCUACUACCGAUUGAAUGGUUCAGUGAGGCUUUCGGACUGGCCCAGGGAGGUCGGCAACCACCACCCACGGCCGGAAAGUUAUCCAAACUCGAUCAUUUAGAGGAAGUAAAAGUCCUAACAAGGUCUCCGUUGGUGAACCAACGGAGGGAUCAUUGCUGGAACGCGCCCCAGGCGCACCCAGAAACCCUUUGUGAACUUAUACCUUACUGGUGCCUCGGCGUACGCUGGCCCCCAGGGGUCCCUCUGUCUACAGAGGAACAAGCACGCCGGCGGCCAAGUUAACUCUUGUUUUUACACUGAAACUCUGAGAAAAAAACACACUUUGGAAUCUA